UACGUAGGUGGCAAGCGUUGUCCGGAAUCACUGGGCGUAAAGCGCGCGCAGGCGGCGAUCUACGUCUGGGGUGAAAGCCCGGAGCUCAACUCCGGGACUGCCUUGGAUACGGGAUUGCUUGAGGAUUGGAGAGGCAAGGGGAAUUCCACGUGUAGCGGUGAAAUGCGUAGAUAUGUGGAGGAACACCUGUGGCGAAGGCGCCUUGCUGGCCAAUUUCUGACGCUGAGGCGCGAAAGCGUGGGGAGCAAACAGG
This 253-nucleotide ribosomal RNA is filed under the name uncultured bacterium. Its description in RNAcentral is "partial 16S ribosomal RNA". It matches the Rfam family "Bacterial small subunit ribosomal RNA", at positions 524 to 776 of the family's 1533-position model. The record is from RNAcentral.